RNAcentral lists this ribosomal RNA (458 nucleotides) under uncultured Allobrachymonas sp. Its description in RNAcentral is "bacterial SSU rRNA". It matches the Rfam family "Bacterial small subunit ribosomal RNA", at positions 919 to 1382 of the family's 1533-position model. Lineage: Bacteria; Pseudomonadati; Pseudomonadota; Betaproteobacteria; Burkholderiales; Comamonadaceae. The record is from RNAcentral.
ACCCGCACAAGCGGUGGAUGAUGUGGUUUAAUUCGAUGCAACGCGAAAAACCUUACCCACCUUUGACAUGGCAGGAAUCCCGAAGAGAUUGGGAGUGCUCGAAAGAGAACCUGCACACAGGUGCUGCAUGGCUGUCGUCAGCUCGUGUCGUGAGAUGUUGGGUUAAGUCCCGCAACGAGCGCAACCCUUGCCAUUAGUUGCUACGAAAGGGCACUCUAAUGGGACUGCCGGUGACAAACCGGAGGAAGGUGGGGAUGACGUCAAGUCCUCAUGGCCCUUAUAGGUGGGGCUACACACGUCAUACAAUGGCCGGUACAGAGGGUAGCCAACCCGCGAGGGGGAGCCAAUCCCACAAAGCCGGUCGUAGUCCGGAUCGCAGUCUGCAACUCGACUGCGUGAAGUCGGAAUCGCUAGUAAUCGCGGAUCAGCAUGUCGCGGUGAAUACGUUCCCGGGUCUU